GGAGCAUGUGGAUUAAUUCGACGCAACGCGAAGAACCUUACCAGGGCUUGACAUCCCCUGACCACGUAUGAAAGUACGUUUUCUGACUUCGGUUGGACAGGGAGACAGGUGGUGCAUGGUUGUCGUCAGCUCGUGUCGUGAGAUGUUGGGUUAAGUCCCGCAACGAGCGCAACCCCUACGUCUAGUUGCUAACACGUAGUGGUGAGAACUCUAGACGGACUGCCGUUGACAAAACGGAGGAAGGUGGGGAUGACGUCAAAUCAUCAUGCCCCUUAUGUCCUGGGCUACACACGUGCUACAAUGGCCGGUACAAAGGGAAGCGAAGCCGCGAGGCGGAGCAAAUCCGAUAAAAGCCGGUCUCAGUUCGGAUUGCAGGCUGCAAUUCGCCUGCAUGAAGUCGGAAUCGCUAGUAAUCGCAGGUCAGCAUACUGCGGUGAAUACGUUCCCGGGCCUUGCACACACCGCCCGUCACACCACGAAAGCGAGCAACACCCGAAGCCGGUGACUUAACCUGAAAAGGAGAGAGCUGUCGAAGGUGGGGUUGGUGAUUGGGGUGAAGUCGUAACAAGGUAACCAAG
This 578-nucleotide ribosomal RNA is filed under the name uncultured bacterium. RNAcentral describes it as "bacterial SSU rRNA". It matches the Rfam family "Bacterial small subunit ribosomal RNA", at positions 934 to 1504 of the family's 1533-position model. The record is from RNAcentral.